AGCUUUGCGCAGUGGCAGUAUCGUAGCCAAUAAGGUUUAUCCGAGGUGCGAUUAUUGCUAAUUAAAACCAAAACAAAGGGGCGCCUGGGUGGCUCAGUGGAUUAAGCCGCUGCCUUCGGCUCAGGUCAUGAUCU
RNAcentral lists this small nuclear RNA (134 nucleotides) under Mustela putorius furo (domestic ferret). Its description in RNAcentral is "U4 spliceosomal RNA (ENSMPUG00000023287.1)". It matches the Rfam family "U4 spliceosomal RNA". From Rfam's summary of the family: U4 small nuclear RNA (U4 snRNA) is a component of the major U2-dependent spliceosome. The structure of U4 snRNA from yeast and human has been reported. Lineage: Eukaryota; Metazoa; Chordata; Mammalia; Carnivora; Mustelidae. The record is from Rfam by way of RNAcentral.